AUUGAACGCUGGCGGCAUGCUUUACACAUGUAAGUCGAACGGUAACAGGCCUUCGGGUGCUGACGAGUGGCGAACGGGUGAGUAAUGCAUCGGAACGUGCCCAGAGGUGGGGGAUAACGCAGCGAAAGCUGUGCUAAUACCGCAUGUGAUCUGAGGAUGAAAGCGGGGGACCAGGCAGCAAUGUUUGGCCUCGCGCCUUUGGAGCGGCCGAUGUCAGAUUAGGUAGUUGGUGGGGUAAAGGCCUACCAAGCCGACGAUCUGUAGCUGGUCUGAGAGGACGACCAGCCACACUGGGACUGAGACACGGCCCAGACUCCUACGGGAGGCAGCAGUGGGGAAUUUUGGACAAUGGGCGCAAGCCUGAUCCAGCAAUGCCGCGUGCGGGAAGAAGGCCUUCGGGUUGUAAACCGCUUUUGUACGGAACGAAAAGGCUCUGGCUAAUACCUGGGGCUGAUGACGGUACCGUAAGAAUAAGCACCGGCUAACUACGUG
This 492-nucleotide ribosomal RNA is filed under the name uncultured bacterium. RNAcentral's name for it is "partial 16S ribosomal RNA". It matches the Rfam family "Bacterial small subunit ribosomal RNA", at positions 30 to 507 of the family's 1533-position model. The record is from RNAcentral.